GACGAACGCUGGCGGCGUGCUUAACACAUGCAAGUCGAACGGAAAGGCCCUGCUUUUGCUGCGUGCUCGAGUGGCGAACGGGUGAGUAACACGUGAGUAUCCCGUCCUUGUCUGUGGGAUAAAUUCACGGAAAUGGGGCUCAUACCGGAUAGAAGCUCUUGCUGCACGUUGGUGGUUGGAAAGUUGCGGCGGUUGUGGAUGGAUUCGCGGCUUAUGCGCUUGUUGGGGGGGUAGUGGCUUACCAAGGCUGCGACGGAUAGCCGGCAUGAGAGGGUGGCCGGCCACAAUGGGACUGAGAGACGGCCCAGACGCCUACGGGAGGCAGCAGUGGGGAGUAUGGCACAGUGGGCGGAAGCCUGAUGCAGAAACGCCGCGUGCGGGAUGACGGCCUUCGGGUGGAAAACCGCUUUCGCAUGUGACGAAGAGUGAGUGACGGUAAUGGGUAAAGAAGCACCGGCUAACUACGUG
Molecule: ribosomal RNA, 468 nt
Filed under: uncultured bacterium
Lineage: Bacteria
Description: partial 16S ribosomal RNA
Rfam family: Bacterial small subunit ribosomal RNA
Source: RNAcentral